This 467-nucleotide ribosomal RNA is filed under the name uncultured bacterium. RNAcentral's name for it is "bacterial SSU rRNA". It matches the Rfam family "Bacterial small subunit ribosomal RNA", at positions 28 to 507 of the family's 1533-position model. The record is from RNAcentral.
GACGAACGCUGGCGGCGUGCCUCAGACAUGCAAGUCGAACGAUUAAGACUUCCUUCGGGAAGUGCAUAAAGUGGCGCACGGGUGAGUAACACGUAAGUAAUCUACCCUCGAGUGGGGAAUAACGUUCGGAAACGGACGCUAAUACCGCAUAACGCAGCGGCACCGCAAGGUGACAGUUGUUAAAGGAGCAAUCCGCUUGAGGAGGAGCUUGCGGCAGAUUAGCUAGUUGGUAAGGUAAUGGCUUACCAAGGCUACGAUCUGUAUCCGGUCUAAGAGGACGGUCGGACACACUGACACUGAAUAACGGGUCAGACUCCUACGGGAGGCAGCAGUCGGGAAUUUUGGGCAAUGGGCGAAAGCCUGACCCAGCAACGCCGCGUGAAGGAUGAAGUAUUUCGGUAUGUAAACUUCGAAAGAAUAGGAAGAAUUAAUGACGGUACUAUUUAUAAGGUCCGGCUAACUACGUG